GGCAUAGCCAGGGAUUCUGGUAGUGUAGUGGAACAUGGGCUUUGCUAUCACUAGUACAUGGGCACACUAUUCAGGCGGUUGGUAACAUAUUUCUACAGGCGUUUUCCAGCACUGCCUGCGCUGGGGGCAGUAGAAAUCGUCCAUUUCCACAGGCGGUUGGUUGAGAGCCGCCAGUAGAAACCAUUUACACAGGCGGUUCCCUAAGAGAGCGCAUGUGGAAACCUAUUAAAAUAUGUAUUAUUUAUUUAUUUUUUAAUUUAUUUAUUUAUUUAUUUAUUUAUUAUUUUAUUGUUAUUAUUUAGAUAUAUUGAUAUUGGUCGGUCUUCUAACAUAGCAACAUGUAAUUUAAAUACUUCAUCUCAUACAUACAUUUGUAUACAUCAAAGUUUGGUGCUCAAAGACAUAAAGUUAAUUACAAGAGUAUAUCCAUCAUCACACAUCAUAUAUAUAUAUAUAUAUACAUCAAAGUUUGUUUCUGUCCUCUAAUAACCCUCUUUAGUAAGUUUGAGCUUACUAAUCUCUGUUAGCACUCGGAACUGUGGCCUGGAUAAUUGGCUUUCAUCAUCAUGAUAUUUGCCUUCACGUGGAAUGACAUGCUUCAUGAUGAACGAGCAGAUGUCCUCAACUAUGUUGUCUAAAGCACGUUCGUCCAUGCGCUCCGCCGUCUCUUGCUUGUAUACCUGCAAAGAAAGUUUAUAAAUAUUAUAUAUUUUAUGACUUCCAACUUUAAUAGACUAUUACUUAUAUUACCUUGUCAGGGUUUCUUGCAUAUCGUCCGUUUUCUCUCAUGUUUUCGCACACACAGUAGCCACAGAGGACAGAUAACGGUCGUUGCUUCAUGCACUGUAUAACAGGAGAGUGAUUAUUUAAUUAUAGUUGCAACUGUGGUCGUAUGUGUAUGAUUUAUAUUCAUAAUAGUAAAUUUUUAUACGUACCGGCCAGUUAUGUAUAACCUCCAAUGGUUGCCCUGGUCUCUUGGACUCGCACUUUCCAUGAUUUAUCUUAU
RNAcentral lists this long non-coding RNA (1006 nucleotides) under Sorghum bicolor (sorghum). RNAcentral's name for it is "long non-coding RNA (SBIC_LNC008079)". The record is from RNAcentral. Lineage: Eukaryota; Viridiplantae; Streptophyta; Magnoliopsida; Poales; Poaceae.